CCCCAAGCAAGGAGUAUCUUUUCUACUACAAUGGACUGUGGAACUGUGUAAGAAACUGCUGGAUUCAACAGAGCUUGAUAAACAGCUCUCAACUGAGUGACAGAAAGCUACUUGGUUCAUGGAUGGCAAUUCCAAGUUAUUUAGUGAAGGAGAGGAGGAGGAGAAGAAAGAGAGAAGGAAGAAAAACUACAGGAGAAAAAGGAGAUGAAGAAGUUGGAGGAGGAAGGGGAGGAGAAGGAGGAGGCUGAGGUGGAGGAAAAGGAGAAGAAGGAGGAAGAGGAGAUGAAGAAUAAUUUUCAACCAGUUCUUUCAGGAACUAAUAAAGUGAGAAUUCACUCACCUCCAGGGAGGGCAUUAAUGUGUGCAUGAGGAAUCCACUCCCAUGACCCAAGCCCCUUCCAAUAGGCCCCACCACCAACGUUGGGGAUGCAAUUUCAAUAUGAGAUUUGGAGGGGAUAAACAUCCAACCAUAGCACUAUUUUUUGAUCUAGAUCCACGCAGAUAGAUGACCAUGCUGGAAAAAUAAACCUAUGUGGAUUCUAAGGACUGAUAUUAAAUUACAACCAAAUUCUUCAAGCUAAGCACUGCUUAGCAAUCCUUUCUUUUCCUCCUAGUCAAUUGUCUCUUACUUUUAUAAAUUCCACAUUUCUUCAUCUUUCCUCAAAAUUCCAUCUCCAUUUCCACGCUCCCAACUUUUGAAUGAUGUCUUUAUUUUCUAUUUCACUAGUAAAGUGACCGACCUAAGCAAUGCUAACUGUAUGAAUCCAUCUGCAUCUGUUCUUUGACGGUCUCCCUUCCCUCCUGACCACACACCUGCUGAAGGUUAGCACCACUUUUCUUACACUAGAUGCUCAAUGAUUUCCUCAAGGAAUUCUCUCCUCUCUCUUAUAUCAUCAGUUUCUUACCUCACCAAGAAUCUACCUGUGAAAAUGCAAAUUAAUUCUUAUUUUAAUAGUUUAAUGAUUCUCUUCCUUGAAUUUAUCUUCUUCUCACUUUAAUUGCACUACAUGUCAACUGUUCUUUAUAGCAGAAAUUCCUCAAAAGCAUAGACUACAUUAGUUUUUUAAAAAAUCCCCACCUCUCAUUUUCUCUUCAGACAAUUUUAAUUAUGCUUUUGUUCCCAUGUGAUACAUUUCUUCCAAUGACUGUCUUGCAAACUUCAGUGAUAAGUUCAUUCUUAUAAAAAUGAUCGGGAGAAUGGCACAACUAUUUCUUCUGUUUUACAUUCAAAUUCUAAAUUAUUACUUUAUUUAUUUUUACAACAAAUAAAUUUGAGAAUGAAUAUAAAGAAAGUUAAUGAUUCUCCAUUUCAUCUCCUGAAAUAAUAAAUGUCAAAAACCUAUUGUCUUUUCUAACAAAAAAGACAUGUCAAUGGUUAACAGAUAAAUAAAAUGCUCAAUGUCACUAAUUAUUGGGGAGAUGCAAAUUUAAACCACCAGAAGACAUCACUUUACACCUGUUAGAAUGGCUAUUACCAAGAAGACAAGUAAACAAGUGUUGGCAAGGAUGUGAAGAAAUGGGGAUCUUUGUAUCUUGUUGAUGGGAAUGUAAAUUACUACAACCAUUAUGGUAAAUAGUAUGGAGAUUCCUCAGAAAAACUAAAAAUAGAAUUACCAUAUGAUCCAGCAAUUCUGCUUCUGGGUAUUUACUCAAAAGAGUUAAAAUCAGUAUGUCAAAGAGAUAUCAGCACCCCCAUAGUACCCACAAUAACCAAGUAAUGACAUCAAACCAAAUGUCUAUCCAAGGGUAAAUGGAUAAAGAAAAUGUGGCAUAUAUGUAUAAUGAAAUACUAUUCAGUCUUGAAAAUGAAGAGAUUCUGUCAUUUGCAUCAAGAUAGAUGGAAUUGGAAAAUAUUAUGCUAAGUGAAAUAAGCCAAACACAGAAAGACAAAUACCACAUGUUCUCACUUACGUGUAAAAUCUAAAACAACUGAAAUUACAGAAGCAGAGAGUAAAAUGGUGGUUACCAGAGGCUGGGAAUGAGAGAAAUGGGCAAAUAAUAGUCAAAAAUAUCAAGCCUUAGUUAGAUAGGAGGAAUACAUCUGAUGUUUAUAAAUCAAUAGCACAAUAUGCUGAUCACAGAUAAUAAUUACUGUACAUUUCAAUAUCAAAGUAAAUUUGUAACGUUCUCAUCACAAGUAAUGUUAAGUAUCUGAGGUGAUUGAUAUGUUAAUUAGACUAAUUUAAUUAUUCCACAUUGUAUUAAAAAUAAUAAUACCACUCUGUAUCCCAUAAAUGUAUACAACUAUAAUUUGUCAAUAUAUAAUUUAAAAAUUCUCCAAAAAUAAUCUGCUGGUUUACUUUCCUUGUGUUUUCCCAUUAUAAAAUUGUGUACAAUAACAUAUGCACAAGUAUACACUUUGAUUUGGUAUUAAAAUGACAAUUGAACCACACUAA
Molecule: long non-coding RNA, 2396 nt
Filed under: Homo sapiens (human)
Lineage: Eukaryota; Metazoa; Chordata; Mammalia; Primates; Hominidae
Description: HSALNT0107780
Source: RNAcentral